Molecule: ribosomal RNA, 305 nt
Filed under: uncultured bacterium
Lineage: Bacteria
Description: bacterial SSU rRNA
Rfam family: Bacterial small subunit ribosomal RNA
Source: RNAcentral
UUCCUACGGGGCGCAGCAGUGGGGGAUAUUGCACAAUGGGGGGAACCCUGAUGCAGCGACGCCGCGUGGGUGAAGAAGCGCCUCGGCACGUAAAGCCCUGUCAGCAGGGAAGAAAAUGACGGUACCUGAAGAAGAAGCCCCGGCUAACUACGUGCCAGCAGCCGCGGUAAUACGUAGGGGGCAAGCGUUAUCCGGAUUUACUGGGUGUAAAGGGAGCGUAGACGGCGAUGCAAGUCUGAAGUGAAAGGCGGGGGCCCAACCCCCGGACUGCUUUGGAAACUGUAUGGCUGGAGUGCAGGAGAGGG